Molecule: long non-coding RNA, 1369 nt
Filed under: Citrus sinensis (sweet orange)
Lineage: Eukaryota; Viridiplantae; Streptophyta; Magnoliopsida; Sapindales; Rutaceae
Description: long non-coding RNA (CSIN_LNC002711)
Source: RNAcentral
UCGUCUUUUGUACAACAAACAUACAUAAUAAUAAAAUGUUAUAUAUUUUUGGAAUUUUAAAUAUUCAGUUGCUUGAUGAAAUGAUUAUAUAAUUUAUAUGCCCUUGAUCUGAAAACAGGCCGUCGGUGAAAACUGAAAAGGGUUCGACCUCAACGUAGUGAGAUGGAAGAAGAAGAUGAAAGCCUUGAAAAGUUGCUGAAAUGGGCAGCAGAAAUGGGAAUUACAGACUCAACAAUUCAAAACCCUUCUCGCUCUCGCAACUGUUUGGGCCAUUCUCUCACCGUCUCUCAUUUCCCGGAGGCAGGUGGGUGAGUUACAGACUGAGCUCUGCUUAUUCGAAUGGAAUAUAUAUAAUUUUUCAUGUAUGCAUAUAAUUUUUCUUCUGUUACAGGAGAGGAUUGGCUGCCGCUCGCGAUCUUACAAAAGGAGAAUUGAUUCUCAGAGUUCCAAAAACAGCCUUAUUUACUACUGAAUGUUUAUUGAAAAGUGAUCAGAAACUAUCUCUUGCUGUUAACAGACAUCUCUUUCUCUCCCCUUCUCAGGUUUUUUUUUUUACUUUUAUAGAUAUAAUGUUUCCGCAAUUGGGAUUUUUCAUUUUUUUUUUUGGUUUAUUUUCUUAUUACUAAGUGUAAUUUUGCAGAUAUUGAUUGUUUGUUUACUAUAUGAAGUGGGUAAAGGAAAGAGUUCACGGUGGCAUGCAUACUUAAUGCUAUUGCCUCGUUGUUAUGAGAUACUUGCAACCUUUGGUCCAUUUGAGAAGCAAGCUCUUCAGGUUCAGUUUCUUUAUUCUUUUGUUAUUUGGAAGUAAUUAUGUUAGUUAUUUGCUUCUCUGAUAGUAAAUUCUUCCUUAGGUGGAUGAUGCUAUCUGGGCUGCUGAGAAGGCUGUGUCCAAAGCUGAAUCCGAGUGGAAGCAAGCCAUUAAACUAAUGGAAGAACUUAAGCUUAAGCCUCAACUGCUUUCUUUUAAGGCGUGGCUUUGGGCUUCCGCAACUGUAAGAAUAUCUAGACGCAGCAAAGACAGACCCGGACAGUAUGAGAGCCCUGCUGUACGGCCAAGGCGGAUGUACGGUACAGCAGCAAACAUACAUAAUAAUAAAAUGUUAUAUAUUUUUGGAAUUUUAAAUAUUCAGUUGCUUGAUGAAAUGAUUAUAUAAUUUAUAUGCCCUUGAUCUGAAAACAGGCCGUCGGUGAAAACUGAAAAGGGUUCGACCUCAACGUAGUGAGAUGGAAGAAGAAGAUGAAAGCCUUGAAAAGUUGCUGAAAUGGGCAGCAGAAAUGGGAAUUACAGACUCAACAAUUCAAAACCCUUCUCGCUCUCGCAACUGUUUGGGCCAUUCUCUCACCGUCUCUCAUUUCCCGGAGGCAGGUG